RNAcentral lists this ribosomal RNA (505 nucleotides) under uncultured bacterium. Its description in RNAcentral is "partial 16S ribosomal RNA". It matches the Rfam family "Bacterial small subunit ribosomal RNA", at positions 28 to 507 of the family's 1533-position model. The record is from RNAcentral.
GACGAACGCUGGCGGCGUGCCUAAUACAUGCAAGUAGAGCGCACAGUUUAUACCGUAGCUUGCUACACCAUAGACUGUGAGUUGCGAACGGGUGAGUAACGCGUAGGUAACCUGCCUGGUAGCGGGGGAUAACUAUUGGAAACGAUAGCUAAUACCGCAUAAUAUUGAUUAUUGCAUGAUAAUUGAUUGAAAGAUGCUAUUGCAUCACUACCAGAUGGACCUGCGUUGUAUUAGCUAGUAGGUGAGGUAACGGCUCACCUAGGCGACGAUACAUAGCCGACCUGAGAGGGUGAUCGGCCACACUGGGACUGAGACACGGCCCAGACUCCUACGGGAGGCAGCAGUAGGGAAUCUUCGGCAAUGGACGAAAGUCUGACCGAGCAACGCCGCGUGAGUGAAGAAGGUUUUCGGAUCGUAAAGCUCUGUUGUAAGAGAAGAACGGGUGUGAGAGUGGAAAGUUCACACUGUGACGGUAUCUUACCAGAAAGGGACGGCUAACUACGUG